This is a long non-coding RNA of Manduca sexta (tobacco hornworm), 541 nucleotides long. RefSeq lists it as uncharacterized. The transcript is spliced from 3 exons. The record is from RefSeq and is a predicted model, not a curated record. Lineage: Eukaryota; Metazoa; Arthropoda; Insecta; Lepidoptera; Sphingidae.
AAUACACGUACUUCAAGAUUUCUGUUUUAAAACUAUAUUGUAAAAAUGAAUCAAAUAAAUUCAUCUUUUGGGACAUGACGGCCAAUCUUAAGGGACAUCACACCGCCAACUUCCUGACUCCGAGCUGCGACUGAGUUAUUGUUAAGAUGGAAAAACUCAGUCAUAAUUAUCACUGGCCCGACGCGGAAUUCGGACCCAGGACCUCAGCGCGAUAUAAUAUAAAUUAUGUACAUCGACUACGGGUAUAGACAGAAAGACUCAUUCAUCAAGAAAUUGGGAAAAUGGACUUGGAAAACCUCGGUCAAUUUGGGCAGAGACUUCUGUCUCAGGACCACCAUUCAUGGGUUUCAACACAUUGCUCAGCCUGGCAGAUAUUGGUUUGAAAGGUUACUUUGGUUCGGAUUGACGAUGGUAGCGAUAAUUGGGGCCGUAGGAGUAACCAGAGAUCAGUGGCAGCGGUACAACGAGAACCCGACGGUUGUUACCCUGGAGAAGAACUUCAGGACCUGGCAGUACAGCGUGCCUGCUAUCACUGCGUGUA